UGGGGAAUUUUGGACAAUGGGCGCAAGCCUGAUCCAGCCAUACCGCGUGGGUGAAGAAGGCCUUCGGGUUGUAAAGCCCUUUUGUUGGGAAAGAAAUCCAGCUGGCUAAUACCCGGUUGGGAUGACGGUACCCAAAGAAUAAGCACCGGCUAACUCUGUGCCAGCAGCCGCGGUAAUACAGGGGGUGCGAGCGUUAAUCGGAAUUACUGGGCGUAAAGGGCGCGUAGGCGGUCGAGUAAGUCGGAUGUGAAAUCCCCGGGCUUAACCUGGGAAUUGCAUUCGAUACUGCUUGGCUAGAGUGUGGAAGAGGGAAGCGGAAUUUCCGGUGUAGCGGUGAAAUGCGUAGAUAUCGGAAGGAACACCAGUGGCGAAGGCGGCUUCCUGGUCCAACACUGACGCUGAGGCGCGAAAGCGUGGGGAGCAAACAGGAUUAGAUACCCUAGUAGUCCCUGAGCGGGCUGGCA
Molecule: ribosomal RNA, 464 nt
Filed under: uncultured bacterium
Lineage: Bacteria
Description: bacterial SSU rRNA
Rfam family: Bacterial small subunit ribosomal RNA
Source: RNAcentral